Molecule: long non-coding RNA, 724 nt
Organism: Oncorhynchus tshawytscha (Chinook salmon)
Lineage: Eukaryota; Metazoa; Chordata; Actinopteri; Salmoniformes; Salmonidae
Source: Ensembl
GACACACGUUGCCACCCUCCGUCAUCGUGUGUCUGACUAUGGUGAGCGUGUUUGGCUGCAUGGUGCUGACGUGUAUGGGCCAGAAAGACAUGCUGUUGGAGAGGACAAGAGGAAGAUGAAGGAGGGACACGCAGCAUGGACCUGAGCCCUAGGACCUGAGCUCCAGGACUACCUGACAUGAUGACUCCUUGCUGUCCCCAGUCCACCUGGCCAUGCUGCUGCUCUAGUUUCAACUUCCACCUGACUGUGCUGCUGCUCCAGUUUCAACUGUUCUGCCUUAUUAUUAUUCGACCAUGCUGGUCAUUUAUGAACAUUUGAACAUCUUGGCCAUGUUCUGUUAUAUAUAUCUCCACCCGGCACAGCCAGAAGAGGACUGGCCACCCCACAUAGCCUGGUUCCUCUCUAGGUUUCUUCCUAGGUUUUGGCCUUUCUAGGGAGUUUUUCCUAGCCACCGUGCUUCUACACCUGCAUUGCUUGCUGUUUGAGGUUUUAGGCUGGGUUUCUGUACAGCACUUUGAGAUAUCAGUUGAUGUACGAAGGGCUAUAUAAAUAAAUUUGAUUUGAUUUGAUCAGACCAGGACUGUGUCAGAUACAGCCCUCCCCAGGACCACUAAUCCAUUGACCAUGCUAGUAGCACACAGUGUGAAAUGAAUCAUCCCAAUGUGUGUAUAUAUGAUCAUCACAUACUGUCCCUGCUACUGCUAAUAUGUAUCAGUAAAAGUCA